GACGAACGCUGGCGGCGUGCUUAACACAUGCAAGUCGAACGGAAAGGCCCUGCUUUUGUGGGGUGCUCGAGUGGCGAACGGGUGAGUAACACGUGAGUAACCUGCCCUUGACUUUGGGAUAACUUCAGGAAACUGGGGCUAAUACCGGAUAGGAGCUCCUGCUGCAUGGUGGGGGUUGGAAAGUUUCGGCGGUUGGGGAUGGACUCGCGGCUUAUCAGCUUGUUGGUGGGGUAGUGGCUUACCAAGGCUUUGACGGGUAGCCGGCCUGAGAGGGUGACCGGCCACAUUGGGACUGAGAUACGGCCCAGACUCCUACGGGAGGCAGCAGUGGGGAAUAUUGCACAAUGGGCGGAAGCCUGAUGCAGCAACGCCGCGUGCGGGAUGACGGCCUUCGGGUUGUAAACCGCUUUCGCCUGUGACGAAGCGUGAGUGACGGUAAUGGGUAAAGAAGCACCGGCUAACUACGUGCCAGCAGCCGCGGUGAUACGUAAGGUGCGAGCGUUGUCCGGAUUUAUUGGGCGUAAAGGGCUCGUAGGUGGUUGAUCGCGUCGGAAGUGUAAUCUUGGGGCUUAACCCUGAGCGUGCUUUCGAUACGGGUUGACUUGAGGAAGGUAGGGGAGAAUGGAAUUCCUGGUGGAGCGGUGGAAUGCGCAGAUAUCAGGAGGAACACCAGUGGCGAAGGCGGUUCUCUGGGCCUUUCCUGACGCUGAGGAGCGAAAGCGUGGGGAGCGAACAGGCUUAGAUACCCUGGUAGUCCACGCUGUAAACGGUGGGUACUAGGUGUGGGGUCCAUUCCACGGGUUCCGUGCCGUAGCUAACGCUUUAAGUACCCCGCCUGGGGAGUACGGCCGCAAGGCUAAAACUCAAAGGAAUUGACGGGGCCCCGCACAAGCGGCGGAGCAUGCGGAUUAAUUCGAUGCAACGCGUAGAACCUUACCUGGGUUUGACAUGGAUCGGGAGUGCUCAGAGAUGGGUGUGCCUCUUUUGGGGUCGGUUCACAGGUGGUGCAUGGCUGUCGUCAGCUCGUGUCGUGAGAUGUUGGGUUAAGUCCCGCAACGAGCGCAACCCUUGUUCACUGUUGCCAGCACGUUAUGGUGGGGACUCAGUGGAGACCGCCGGGGUCAACUCGGAGGAAGGUGGGGAUGACGUCAAGUCAUCAUGCCCCUUAUGUCCAGGGCUUCACGCAUGCUACAAUGGCUGGUACAGAGAGUGGCGAGCCUGUGAGGGUGAGCGAAUCUCGGAAAGCCGGUCUCAGUUCGGAUUGGGGUCUGCAACUCGACCUCAUGAAGUCGGAGUCGCUAGUAAUCGCAGAUCAGCAACGCUGCGGUGAAUACGUUCCCGGG
RNAcentral lists this ribosomal RNA (1343 nucleotides) under uncultured bacterium. Its description in RNAcentral is "16S ribosomal RNA". It matches the Rfam family "Bacterial small subunit ribosomal RNA", at positions 28 to 1378 of the family's 1533-position model. The record is from RNAcentral.